Molecule: signal recognition particle RNA, 335 nt
Filed under: Thermoprotei archaeon
Lineage: Archaea; Thermoproteati; Thermoproteota; Thermoprotei
Description: signal recognition particle sRNA
Rfam family: Archaeal signal recognition particle RNA
Source: RNAcentral
GAGCGGACCCGGGAUGGGACGGCAAUCCCCGCCGUCCGUCGGGGCAAACCCCCGAUCCGCAUGGGGUUAGCGGCAUCCGAAACCCUCUCUGUUGGUGUACACACCCCCUAGUACCGCCAUCUAGCGGCGAUGAACCCCAGCCCCCUGGGGCUACCGCAGGCGGCGGGCCGUCCGUAGGGACGGACCUAGCCGCUUAAACACCCGAACCGGGUUAGGCCCGGGAGGGAGCAGCCCUAAGGGUGGGCGGUAGCGUUCAGGGGUGUACUGGGGUGAGACCGCUAGGUGGUAUGGGCUAGGGGGUGUGUACACCAACAGAGAGGGGUUGGGGUCCGCUC